AGGGAAGGAAUCAUGUUACUUCAACUGCUAUUUUCACAUAAAGAAGGCAGAGAAGGGGGACUGGUUCUGUAAAUGUCUUUCAGAUCAUAGGGUAGCUGACCUGGCUUUCUCAGCUGUUAUUUUGCUUGUUUAACUGACCCGUUGUCUGAACAGGUGUGUGGUACAGCAAAGGCUUGCUUAGGAUAGCUGGCAUAACUUUCUUUUCCGGGCAAGAAGUAGACCACAACAUGGUUUGUCCAGGAAGAUUCUGAAGUCUGAACCCUUGAAGGGGGAAAUGAUGCUGAAACGUGAAUUUUCUUUAUAGAAGGCAAAAAUUGCUUUUGAAAAGCCCAGCAGGACUUAGGCUGUUGGCCUUCCCACUCUGCUGUCCAGUCAGUGAGCCCUCAGCGGUGAGAUGGAGGAAGCACAGGGACCCACAGGUCCCCAAGGGGAUAAGGGUGGUUUCUGGCCUCCCCAUCUUCCUGCCACCUCUACAGUGCAGGUGAU
This 486-nucleotide long non-coding RNA is filed under the name Equus caballus (horse). Its description in RNAcentral is "lncRNA (ENSECAG00000048578.1)". Lineage: Eukaryota; Metazoa; Chordata; Mammalia; Perissodactyla; Equidae. The record is from RNAcentral.